GAGGACUCAUGAGCUUCUCCCUGACAGCUCCUGCUCCAGCUGUGCUGAAGAUGUGCACACACCAAAAUGCACGUGUGCUUAUAGCUGAGGAGGGAGGACUAACUACACCACCAAAUACUCUUUUAGAGGGAAAGAAAGCUGCAAGCCUGGGGAUUGCAAGACAUUACCAGCAUCAAAUCAUCCACAGAGCACUCUAACUAAAAGGAGAACAUUAUGGCGUGUGCCAGUAAUGCCCAUCUGGAACUGGAAGUGGCUCAGACAGCCUGCAAGACGUUGUCCUUCCUGCAGGAUCGGAAAGGGGGCCAGAAAUACCAACACUUCUGUAUCUUUGCUAAAUUUCCAGUCCAUUUGAGCAGACAGACAGAGUUGUGAUGGGGUUUGGCUCAUUGUUUUUGGGGCACUCAAAGUCAGUGAUUACCCCCUCCUCCCCAGCUGCCCUAUUGCAGAGCUCCUCCAGAAACACGUGGAGGAAGCACUACGUGUUACUAAUGUCUGCUAAACAGAUGCUGCCUUUUACUUGGCUUGUGUGAGGAAGGUGGCUUGUCCACACCUGGUUUUGGUAUAGGAGACCCCACUUGGCUGGGGAUAGAUCGCCUUUUUAUGAGCACAUCCUGCAAAAGGACACUGCGGCUCUCAUGUAAUGUUGGCAGCAAAUGUUGUUGCUUGCUGUGCUUGGAAGUUCCCUCCGUCAUUUUGUUCCUAGUGUCUGUUUUCAUUGCAAGAUUUUCAGGAUACGGAGUCAACCCCAGCCAGCUUAUUCCCAACACCAAAGCUUCUCAUUUUGGUGGUGCUCAGGCAUUGCUGUACUUUAUAUGAUUAGUAAUAGUUUAAUAAGCCUGAGAAACUUGAACCUCCCCUUGACCACUGCCGUGUUUGGUGUCAUUUCAGGAACGGCAAGUUCUAGAUUUGAAAGAGGUGCUUCAGCAUCCACCACAGAUAACACAACAUCUCUUAGGACUCCUGCCCUGUGUAAACUUCCCCUCAUACAAACUGCACAAAAUCAACGGCAGGGCAGGUGCAGGAAUAAAGGGGAGAGGACCAUGGGCUAAGGGGGAGCUGCUGAAAAGCUGCAGCAGAUUAUGUGGAGCUGAAAGCUGGGUAGGAGGUUUGGGUAAAAUAAUAGCACCCACUGUGUUUAUAUCAAAUGCCACGGGGAUUUUCUUUAAUGAAAGGCCACAUAGGUCCCCAUUUAUUUGUUUGAGGAGAUUUUAAAGAGUGCGCAGUAACUGAAGCACUGGAAUCAAAGGCAGGGGAGCAAGAAAAACAUCUGUAUGUGCCUUGCUGCUUUUUGGUCCAGUGUAUUAUACUGAAAGCAACUGUGCAUUACCUUCCCUUUAAUGAUACGUCUUGUGGUCAGAUUUUUGGGGAGUGUGAUGGAAAUUGGUGUGAUCCCCUUCCUAGGCAUGGACAAGGGCAUAGCCACGUCUGCCUGUUGUUAGUCAUCGGCCCUGCAUCUGACCUCUGUGCAUGUGUGCAUCUAAUAACAAAAAUGUGUGUUGAUAAGCAGCAUUUUAUGGAAGAGUUAUUUGCUUAAUAUAUUAUUCUGGCUUAACAUCUGCAUGUGGAUUGGAAACUGUCAGAGCGAAAUGGAGUAAUUUUAAAAGGUAUAUGACAAUAUAAAGAUGGUGUGAGGUAACCUGCUGGGACAGUCGUGAUGAAAUCAGAUUGGCAAAAAUAAGGGUUGACCUGUUACUUGGAAGAAAGAGGCCAAUUUAUAACUGUGGUAUGUUACUGUGUUAAAUAACUCAAUUUGCUUUUAUUUUAAUCUGAACACUUCAAGGUCUUAGAAAAUUAGUUAGAAAUCAUUUGGUCUCUCUGGUUUGCGUUAGUUUAGGAUUUUUUUGUUUCUUUUCUCUUAUUUUCUUUUUUUCUUUCUUUUCUUUUUUGUAAGGCAAUGUUGGUUGAGUAUCUCCAAGAAAAUUAAGUACUGGCAAGGGGGCAGAAAAUUGUGCCUGUUAUUUCAUGUAGCCAGAGAAAGAAGCAACACCUUGGAGGUGAAUGAUAGAUAUUAUUAUAAAAGAGUUGUAGCUCAGGGCAGGUGAGCGGUCUGUUAAUGAGGAGCCACCUCCUGCUUUCUGACAGAUGACUGUCAUUGUUCAAAUGCUGCCAUCAGAUUGAUUAAUAACUGGGUCAUCUUGCCCUGCAGUUGGAGUAGACUGUCUUCAUUCUUUUGCUGAUUUCUCUAAUAUGCUGACCUGGAGGUGACCCAAUAGAGGUGGAGCUGAGAUUAGCAUUUCAUUUCUUGUAGAACAACAAGAAAAAAUUCACAAGGAAGUGGAUUAACUAAACUAAAACUCAAAGAAUGCUCUUAUCCCCAGAGCAACACCCAAACUUAUUCAUCAUUUAUGAACAGGCAGUUUUAGUAUUUGAUACAUUUAUAUUUUUAAUAAAUAUUUAAAUUAGGUUCAUUUCUGCAGCAUCAGCUAAAUCUAAGUGAAAAGACGUAUAAGGUCUCUUCAGAGCAUGCAAAGAAAUGCAAAGACCUGUGUACUGAGGGGCAGGGGAGUGAGCUGAUAUAACAUCAAAAUUCCUGCUUUGCCUUAAUGUCUCUUAAUGUUCACUAAAUUCACUAUUAAAAGACCAAAUAGUAAACAGCAUGCUUUGACAAGUGAAAUGCAGGCAUAUUAUCCCAGAUGACUGUUAUUAUGUGGAAAGAAUGGCAAUUCUCCUUCAAGAUUUGUGUAAUUUUCUCUCUUUUCUUGAUUUAAACUCUUCUGAAAGCAAUGGCAUGGUGAGUUUACCUUUCUCCUUGUCAUAUGUUGGCAAGGUGUGAUGGCUCUCAUCUGCUUUGGGAGCAUGGAGCACAAUAUAAUAGUCAACUAGAGCCAGAGGGAUACUUGCAACUAAUUAGGAUUCAAUUUUCAGACUUUUUGGAACAUUGCUUUGGCUAAAAGUUACAUGAAAAUAUCCUUCAAAUAGCUUGUGAAAUUGGCUCAUUUCUGGCACUCUUUUAAAAUUACUGAUCCUUCUAUUACAUGGACCAGCUCUGCAAUUUGAGACUUUUCUAUUUAAAUGAAACAUUUGUAACAUUUUGCAAGAAUACCUGCUAUUCCUUCCAUCUUCCUGGA
Long non-coding RNA from Hirundo rustica (Barn swallow), 3068 nucleotides. RefSeq lists it as uncharacterized. The transcript is spliced from 3 exons. The record is from RefSeq and is a predicted model, not a curated record. Lineage: Eukaryota; Metazoa; Chordata; Aves; Passeriformes; Hirundinidae.